Lynx canadensis (Canada lynx) is the source of this 3857-nucleotide long non-coding RNA. RefSeq lists it as uncharacterized. The transcript is spliced from 2 exons. The record is from RefSeq and is a predicted model, not a curated record. Lineage: Eukaryota; Metazoa; Chordata; Mammalia; Carnivora; Felidae.
UUUAUUGUCCAGAAGCAGUAACUUUUAAAUAAUUCUCUUUAAAUAUUUUAAAAUCAGUCAUUUAUAUUUUAAGUUUACCCCAGAAGAGAUAUGAUAAGUACACUCUUAAAUUUAAAUCUAAAUUUAGUUAAUUUUUAAAAAGUAUAUUUUUAUAAUGAUGUACAAUAUGAUCCAUUGGCAUCAUGUAGUUCAUUAACAGACUUUUUCUUGUGUUUUAUAGCUGUAGAAUCAGAAAUAUGUUUUCUAUUAAAGGAUUCUUUAAUUUCAGCCUUCUUGAAUAAAAUCUUGAUUGUCUUCCAAGUAAAUUCGACAACUUUUCUGAAAAACUUAUUCUGAUGUUUAACAAUGUUUAAAUACUGAAAAUGUUUCCUGCUAAUAAAGCUUAGGCCCUAGCAUUGUUCUUCAAGCCUAGGUCUUUCUGCUUUAGCUUUGUAAAAAUGGACUACUGGGCACGAUCAUUUUUAUAUAGUCCUCUAUCAACCGGUCUUAGUUUUGUCUUCUUGAAGCUGAUAUAUUUAUUUACUUAAAUUUUACUCGAGUCACUUUAACUUCUGAAUUGACCCCUAAUUCUAUCAUUUGCUUUGAUUGUGCCAUAAUGUCUUUUUCUAUUAAAGGUCGAUAUGAAUGGGAAUACUGUGCUUUGAUUUUGUAAACUAUUAGCUUAUACUUUGUAAACUACCUCAUUUUGUAAUGCAGUAUCCUGAGAUAUAUUAUUUAUUUUUAUUUAUUAAUGCUUUGAAAGGAAUCUGGAAAAUGUUCACCAUAAUUCUCAAUUGGAUAACAAAGAAUGGUAACAAAGUAUGUUUUAGAAUAGGAGAAAUAAUGGGAGUGACAGACUGGGCUUGCAGAGCUGAAGGGGGAGCUCAUGGAGAUUAUUUUGGAGUUACAUCAUCAAAAUGAGCAGGAGUGGAACAAAUGGCAGACAAGGAGAGUGGAUUGAAGGGAGAGAAAUGUGUUCCAGAUGAAAGGGUGCAAUACAAUGUAUAGAGUUGUGAAAGCAGGGUGCAUAUUGGAACUGCCAUGGAUUUAGCAUAGCUGGUUAUAGAAGAAUGGGGGAAUGCAUGGAACUCAAAAGGAUGGUUGGAAAAUGAUGAAAAGGAGCCUGUAUACCCUACUGAGGGAUUUGUACAUUAUCCUACAGAUAAUACAUUUCCCAGGGAAAAAAACAUGGUGAAAUUUGUGUUUUAGAAAAGAAAAAAAAAUAGUCAAAAUGUAGAAAAUGAAAUGAAAUGGUUUUGUUUGGUCCCAGAGGAAACACUGAGAGAAUUCACAUGAAAGAAAAUACGAGCUCAGAUGAGGCUGUGGUCAUGAGAUGGCAGAAGAGGGAGCUAGUUCUGGAAUUCAGGCUCUCUACUGUUUGGUUGUAAGUGGUAAAGGAAAGGGGAGAAUUAAGAAAGUAGGGAAGGUGUAGUGGAUAAAAGGAUGAUUAACCAAGACAAGCAGUAGAGAAAAGAGAGGAAAUCUGAGAAGACAAUGAUUUCACUGUCUGUGCUACAUUCUAGUGGUAAGUCAGUUAGAAAAUGCAGUUCUGGUACAUAAGAGGGAGCUGGAGGCCAGAGGAAAAACUGAGGAGUCAACAUGUCAUAAGUUGGUGGAUCAGACCAGAGGCAAGACCAAAACCCACUGGAAGCAUGUAAAGUAUAGGCAAUAAUGAAGGCCUAGAACAGUAAACCAGAUAUUAGUGACACUUAAGAGGUGGGAAGAGGAAGAGAAGUCAGUGAAAGAAACAGAAGGAAGAAUAUAAAACGUGAAAUAAAGAUUUAGAGUGAAAAUGUCUCCAUAGCCAAGGGACAGAGGUUUUUAAGGAAAAGGAGCUGAAUCUAACAGUACAGAGUUCAAAUAGAAUGUUGAUGAGAGAGAAGGCAUCAGAUUGUUUUUGUUGACCUGCAUGGUUAAAAUGUUUUAGAUUAGUUAAGGAAAGGAGUAGAAGACUGCAGUGGGUUCAGAAGAGAAUGGAACGUGAGCAAGCAGAGAAUGUGACUGUAGAAAGCUCAAGAAUCCUGGCAACAAUGGAAAGGAAAUAGGUGGGAUUGAGAACUAGCAAGGUUAUGGGGUUGAUGCUUAUAUAUGUUUAUAUGUAUUUUUAGACAGAAGUGAUUUGUGUGUGGCUAUGGGUAAAGAUAAAUCUACUUGAGAGAGGGAGAUAAAUGUAGAAGGGAGACGACUCAGAAAAUGAGGAACAGCAUUGGAUGAAAUUAGGAACAGAGAGGAAAAGCCCUGGGCUGAAGAAUAAGCGUCUCUUCCUCUAAGGCAGAAAAGGACAUGCUUUGUGAGUGGUUCAUGCACUGUCUGGAAAUGACAGGCCAAGAGAUUUUGAUGCUCAUAGAUACCACUGUCAUGACAGGCAUGGGAGUUCAUUAGACAGGUGGACCAGAAUCACAGGCUCAGAUCCAGAUUUCCAGGAGCCAGAACAGAAUAUGGGAACUGAUAACACUGACAAGGAAGAGAUAGGAAAUGUUACUUCUUAUUUUUGGAUCUAGAAACAGUGUCAUGUGACCUGGUAGGAGGAAAGGCUAGGUAUGGAAGGGAGGUAAUGUACUGUGUUGUGAUCAAGAACUUGGGACUUGGAGGACAGAGGACAGUGAAUUCCUAUCUCCUCUCAGGCACUUAUUAAGUGUGUGAACUUAUGUAAGGCACUUAACCACUUCCUGCUUGAGUUUCUUCACAUGUAAAUAGAAGGCAAUGGUAAUAACUGCACAAGACUAUUAUAAGGAAUAAAUGAGAAACUGAUACAAAGCUUUCAGAGGGUACAAUAUACAGGAAUUAAAGUUUAUGUUUGUGUGUUUGUUCAUUUUGAUUACACAGACUAGGAAAGUGGGAAGAAUUGUGAAUGUUCUAGCUCAAGGGCUGUACGAUCUCUGAGAAUUAGGAGAAUGCCACUUGAUGGACCACUGGAAAGGGGUGAAGCUUUGGGAGAGUGGUGUUGUGAGGUAGAAUAGAAAGUGACCAGGAGCACAUAAAAAGUUCACUAAGUGUUGAUGACAUUGGUCUUGGCAAUGAUUUCAUGGUUAUGUUAAGUGUCCUUAUAUAUACAUGUAUAAGUGUACAUGUAUAUGUGUGUGUGUGUGUGUGUGUGUAUAUAUAUAUAUAUAUAUAUAUAUAUAUAUAUUCGCUAAGUGGAGUUAAAAGCCCAGCUGUAGAAAGUGGCCAUUAUUUGUAAUAUUAGUACAUUGAGUAGUCAAAAGUUAUUUCUCCAGAAUUAGAUUAGAGGAUAUGAGGAAAUUGCUAGAAGGAAAAGUGUAUGAGAGAGUGGAGUGUGGGAGUGGAUCAUUGCAUGGAGGAGAGCAAGACAGCAAGAGAUGGGGGGGGUGGACACAGAAGUGACUGCUGAGUUGGGAACAUAGGCCUGUUUGUGAGAGGAAGGGAAACCAGGAAGAGCUGGAAGGAUGCACAAAAUGUCUGCUGAUUCCAGUCAUGUCAAAAACAAACAUAACAGGGUUGGAGUAAUGAAAACCCAGAACGUGGGGUUUGUUAGAUGAAGAGCAGAAUGAAGACUGCUGAAAUGGAGAGGAGUUGAAGCAGUGGGCUCGUGAAGAAUGCAAGAGAUGGGGUGGGUAAGGGCAAGUUGAAGGCCAGGGUCCUGGGAGGUGACUAAAUGAUUGGGAGAGUUUGGAUUGAGAUAAAGCCAAGCCAGUGUCCAAGCCGUGGGAUUUAGUGUAUGAUGCUGAUGAGGACAGGUAGAGGUGGCAGACCUGCCUGGCGAGAACUCUGGGAAAGCUUAGAAUGCUUUUUCCCCAUAGAGAGAAAGUCUACAGAAAAUUAUGUAGAGUCUAAGGCUGGCAUGGGAUUCUUAAAGGAGGAUUCAAUAUCUUCCUUAUCUCUGGAGUCCCAGAGUCCAACACAGUGGCUAUCACAUU